CAAAGUCCCAAACUUUGAUCGAAAUAGGCAAAAACUAAGCAUACGUUUGAAGCAAAGUUUAUGAGUUUUAAUCACCGUCUUAUCUACUUACUGCCACUCUCCCUCCACCGUCCAAACUCCAAACUCCAAACUCCAAAUUCCAAGGUCCAAACAGAGAGAAUCUAUUCCCUUAUUUUUCCCGAUGGAAAGGGAGCCUUUUCUCGGCUCCCAAACAGGGCCCCAACACCAACUCCUCCAACCCACCCCCACCCCCACUGUUCAAAUCCCUGACUCUGAUGAUUUCUCUUUCAAAAUCUCUCCCUCCCACAGCGAGCCUAAUCUCCGCCACCUCCAACAACCCCACCAUCACCAUGUCCACCAACCAGACCCGCAGCCCUCCUCGUCAGGAGCCCCGAAUGCCAGCCAUCAGAAGAGACCCGGCACUCUCCACCGCUGCAGGACGGCCCCCGCCAUGGCCGUCAUGCGAGACCUCAAUCCACACCCAACAACCCAGGUCCCCAAACCACAAUCCGACUCCACCUCCAUCAUCAGGCAAGCCGUCUUCUUGCUCCUCGUCUACCUCUCCCUCGGCGUUGUAAUUUACUCCUUCAACAGGGACAAAUUCUCCGGUGUCGAAACCCACCCGGUCGUCGACGCUCUCUACUUCUGUAUAGUCACCAUGUGCACCAUCGGGUACGGUGACAUUGCUCCCACCACUCCCCUCACCAAGAUUUUCGCCUGCGUCUUUGUGCUCUUCGGGUUCGGUUUCAUCGACAUUUUGCUGAGUGGGGUUGUCAAUUUUGUCCUCGACUUGCAAGAAAAUAUGAUCCUGACCGGAAUUCAAAUGGGUCAGACUUCCCGGAAUCGUCGUUUCUCCGCCAGGAACUAUAUCGUCGAUGUGGCAAAGGGCAGGAUGAGGAUCCGACUCAAGGUUGGCCUGGCGCUUGGAGCGGUGGUUUUGUGCAUCGGCAUUGGGGCUUUGGUCUUGUGUUUUGUGGAGAAUUUGGACUGGAUUGAUUCUGUUUACUUGUCUGUUAUGUCGGUUACAACGGUUGGUUAUGGAGACAGGGCCUUCAAGACUCUCCAAGGAAGGCUCUUUGCCGCCGUGUGGCUUCUGUUUCGACAUUGGCGGUGGCCCGGGCGUUUAUGUAUUUAGCGGAGGCUAGGGUCGACAAGAGGCACAGGAGGAUUAUGAAUUGGGUUUUGCAUAGGGAUAUCACUGUCCAGGAUCUGCUUGCUGCUGACAUCAAUAACCAUGGUUUCAUCAGCAAGUCAGAGUAUGUUAUUUACAAGCUUAAAGAGAUGGGAAAGAUAGGGGAGAAAGAUAUACUGCAAAUCUGCGAUCAGUUCAGUAAGCUUGACCAGAACCACUCUGGGAAGAUAACGCUGCCUGACCUGUUGGCGCAUCGCUUGUAGUUUUGGUAAGGUUAAGUCUGGAUUCUGCUCUUUUCGUUCGAAGAAACAGACUCCUUUUCUCAUUCUGGUGAAAGCAUGGGGAAUGUUGAAGACAAAGGCCUUUGCGUUGUAUAUCCUAACAAACUAUUCUUUGAAGAUUUAUGCAUUGCAUAUAAGCUUUGCCUUGCAAAAGAUGAAGUGGAUAGACAUUAUUCUACACCGAGCUGCUGUACGAGGAUUAUAGAAGAACGUGAAGUGCAUAGACAAUUUGUCCAAAGUAAAGUUAGAAUCUCUUCCUUUUAUUUCUAUUUUCCCUUAUGAUACUGUAAUUGAAACAAAAAGGAAUCGAGAAAAAAGGAAGGCCAUGUAAUGACAUUGGCACGCACACGGGUUCCCCGUUCUUGCAUCUUGUAAUCGGAGAUACAUAUACUCUCCUGAAUUCAUUGAGUAGUCUGAUAUACUUUCUUUCCUUAUUCAUGCCCCAUUUCUUGUUUUGAUACCAUAAUCCUAUUUUUUUGUUUGCUGAAUUGAAGCUGAUAUAGUUUCCUGGUUCA
Molecule: non-coding RNA, 1928 nt
Organism: Malus domestica (apple)
Lineage: Eukaryota; Viridiplantae; Streptophyta; Magnoliopsida; Rosales; Rosaceae
Source: RefSeq, a predicted model, not a curated record